This 511-nucleotide ribosomal RNA is filed under the name uncultured bacterium. RNAcentral's name for it is "bacterial SSU rRNA". It matches the Rfam family "Bacterial small subunit ribosomal RNA", at positions 26 to 518 of the family's 1533-position model. The record is from RNAcentral.
AGGACGAACGCUGGCGGCGUGCCUAAUACAUGCAAGUAGAACGCUGAAGACUUUAGCUUGCUAAAGUUGGAAGAGUUGCGAACGGGUGAGUAACGCGUAGGUAACCUGCCUACUAGCGGGGGAUAACUAUUGGAAACGAUAGCUAAUACCGCAUAACAGCAUUUAACACAUGUUAGAUGCUUGAAAGGAGCAAUUGCUUCACUAGUAGAUGGACCUGCGUUGUAUUAGCUAGUUGGUGAGGUAACGGCUCACCAAGGCGACGAUACAUAGCCGACCUGAGAGGGUGAUCGGCCACACUGGGACUGAGACACGGCCCAGACUCCUACGGGAGGCAGCAGUAGGGAAUCUUCGGCAAUGGGGGCAACCCUGACCGAGCAACGCCGCGUGAAGUGAAGAAGGUUUUCGGAUCGUAAAGCUCUGUUGUAAGAGAGGAACGCGUGUGAGAGUGGAAAGUUCACACAGUGACGGUAACUUACCAGAAAGGGACGGCUAACUACGUGCCAGCCGCCGC